AUCGGAAUUACUGGGCGUAAAGCGCACGCAGGCGGUCUGUCAAGUCGGAUGUGAAAUCCCCGGGCUCAACCUGGGAACUGCAUUCGAAACUGGCAGGCUAGAGUCUUGUAGAGGGGGGUAGAAUUCCAGGUGUAGCGGUGAAAUGCGUAGAGAUCUGGAGGAAUACCGGUGGCGAAGGCGGCCCCCUGGACAAAGACUGACGCUCAGGUGCGAAAGCGUGGGGAGCAAACAGGAUUAGAUACCCUGGUAGUCCACGCCGUAAACGAUGUCGAUUUGGAGGUUGUGCCCUUGAGGCGUGGCUUCCGGAGCUAACGCGUUAAAUCGACCGCCUGGGGAGUACGGCCGCAAGGUUAAAACUCAAAUGAAUUGACGGGGGCCCGCACAAGCGGUGGAGCAUGUGGUUUAAUUCGAUGCAACGCGAAGAACCUUACCUGGUCUUGACAUCCACAGAACUUUCCAGAGAUGGAUUGGUGCCUUCGGGAACUGUGAGACAGGUGCUGCAUGGCUGUCGUCAGCUCGUGUUGUGAAAUGUUGGGUUAAGUCCCGCAACGAGCGCAACCCUUAUCCUUUGUUGCCAGCGGUCCGGCCGGGAACUCAAAGGAGACUGCCAGUGAUAAACUGGAGGAAGGUGGGGAUGACGUCAAGUCAUCAUGGCCCUUACGACCAGGGCUACACACGUGCUACAAUGGCAUAUACAAAGAGAAGCGACCUCGCGAGAGCAAGCGGACCUCAUAAAGUAUGUCGUAGUCCGGAUUGGAGUCUGCAACUCGACUCCAUGAAGUCGGAAUCGCUAGUAAUCGUAGAUCAGAAUGCUACGGUGAAUACGUUCCCGGGCCUUGUACACACCGCCCGUCACACCAUGGGAGUGGGUUGCAAAAGAAGUAGGUAGCUUAACCUUCGGGAGGGCGCUUACCACUUUGUGAUUCAUGACUGGGGUGAAGUCGUAACA
This 949-nucleotide ribosomal RNA is filed under the name Klebsiella pneumoniae. Its description in RNAcentral is "bacterial SSU rRNA". It matches the Rfam family "Bacterial small subunit ribosomal RNA", at positions 544 to 1493 of the family's 1533-position model. Lineage: Bacteria; Pseudomonadati; Pseudomonadota; Gammaproteobacteria; Enterobacterales; Enterobacteriaceae. The record is from RNAcentral.